ACCCCAAGGGACCAAUCUCACCGAACGCAACGGGGAAGGAACUUUAAACGUGGCCGUUGCUUUGCUGUUCUAGACAACCCUUACCUGACAAAUCCUUUGUUGUUUUUGACCUUCCCAGGGACCGAGACUCGGAGUCAUCAUCUUUCCUUCAAAACCCUAAUUUACAUCCUAAUACUCAAUCUUUAAACUUUGAUCUCCUCAUCAGAUCGGCUUCGCUGCUAGUCAGGGAUAAUGUCUAUUGCGCAAAAUUUUCAGGGGGAAGGACAUACAUUUCAUGGUGGUUAUUGGUCCACAUUUGAUGGAAAUAACUAUAACAGCACUAAUAGGAAAAGAAGCAGGCACAAUUAUUUUCAUAAGAAUUAUAACAAGAACUACUGGGCAAAAUUUGGGGAGCACAAUGGCAACUCCAAGUUUUACAACACGGAUCAUGCAAACUAUAUGAAGUAUGAUGCUGUCCCAUCAUCUUUGAAAAGAAGAAAAUACUCAGUUCCUACUUGGGAUGAAAGCUGGAGAUACUGUCUUCCACCCCCGAUCCAUGAUGAUGUCCCUUCAUCAUAUAAUUUUCCUCUUCCUCUUAUGAGACAAAAUGCUGAUACCUCUACAUCAGCUUGCUGCAAGCGUGAUAUCUCUAGGUUUGAAGACGACGCACCCAUCUUUUUGUCAAGGGACGAGAUCGAUAGAUGUUCUCCGUCUAGAAAAGAUGGUAUUGAUGUACUUCAUGAGACACACUUGCGUUACUCUUACUGUGCUUUCCUUCAGAAUCUUGGAAUGCGGCUUGAAUUGCCGCAAACUACUAUAGGAACAGCUAUGGUCCUGUGCCACAGAUUUUUUGUUCGAAGGUCACAUGCUUGCCAUGACAGAUUUUUGAUUGCUACUGCGUCUCUUUUUCUAGCUGCAAAGUCUGAGGAAACACCACGCCCAUUGAAUAACGUAUUGAGGGUGUCCAGUGAAAUCCUUCACAAACAAGAUUUUACUUUGUUGUCCUAUCGGCUUCCUGUUGACUGGUUUGAACAGCAUCGUGAGCGAGUAAUUCAGGCUGAGCAGUUGAUAUUGACCACUCUUAACUUUGAGCUCAAUGUACAGCAUCCAUUUGCUCCUCUGACAUCUGUUCUUAACAAGUUAGGUCUAUCACACACUGUGUUGGUGAAUCUGGCGUUAAACUUAGUCAGUGAAGGGGUCUUCGCAAGAUUAGCAUGCUGGCCUGUUUGAUAAUCUUAGCUGGCGGAUUCAUAUGCUCCUCAUGGAAUCUUUUGUUUUUACAUCUGAAGUUGUACUGCUGAUGUCUAAUGGAUUGCUUUACCCUGAAAAUGCCCCAUCCAAUUUUUUUUGGGUUGCCCAAGACUGGCACAAGACACCCAACCCAGAUUUACUUUCUAGGCCAAGCUUUUAUGCUGGUGACCUUUUGCCAUAUGGCUCAUCGUUGCUCUUUUUUUUUUUAAUGUGGGUGAAAAGAAGGUCAUGAACUCUGAACCAUGCUGCGAAUGGGCUGAGAGAGUGAUCUAACAAUUAAAAACCAACAGAAGGGAAUAAGAUUUUCUGAAUUUUGAAAGCGUAGUGGGUCAUCUAUUUUUUUCCCCCUUGAAUUACAUAGGGCAAGUAAGUGCUUGAGCUAAUAGCAGGAUUAAACCCAUGAGCUUCCAUCACCAUGGAUGGGUUACAUCUCGCUGGCCACAAGGCUAUUGGCAGGUCCUCUGUUUUCAUGAAUUAAUAAGCAAACAAAAUUUGAAGACAAACUGACUCUUUAGUCCGGAAACAAUAUCUUAGUAAUGGGGGUGUCUCAACUGGGUCCAAUUUACUUGAUUCAAAAGAAAAUUGUUCCUGGGCAGGGUUCUACAGAUUAAAUCUUUAUUUUUGGGGAAUAUUUUACAAUGUGAGUGAUAUAGUUGUUUUUUAAAGAUGGAUCUUGGGUUUUUAUUCUAGGUGUUAGCAUCUGAGGGCUUCAAGUUGGUUAUAUUAUUAACCUUUCUUUUUUUUUUUUUCAAUUGUUCAAUGUGUUGUUAAUGCACCUUUGGCAAACGUGUAUGAAGUGGAUUCGCUUUCUUCUGUUUAUUUGCAAUGUCUAUCAUGCCCUUGUAAUCAUCUCAAGUCUUGACAGUUUUUGAAAGGAUACUAGGGUGACUUUUCAUCCUGAAAACCAUUUUUUCCACUUCAUUUUGUAUUCCACCAUUUUUCAUUUGGGGUGUCAAGUCCUUUGCGUCAAGUUAUUGAAUUUGUAUUUUGUGCUUUUCAAAUUUGAACUUAUUGUAAUAGCAGAACAAAGAAAUUUUUCAUGACUGGUAUGGAAUAUAUACAUAUACAUGAAUAUAUGGACAUGUAUAUUUUUGUACUUUUCGAACCAAAAUAAAGUUUUUAUGUGUUUGAUUAUCACUAGCACAUGGGCCGGUGUGUAUUUGACACAUAAACAGGAGAUUUUGAAAACCUUGGUGUAUGGCAAUGUUGCAUUCAUGCAACAGUAAAGGGCCUGUUAAUUUGCUGUAAAUUUGUGAUACCUAUUUGAAAUUUUCUUUUCAUAUUUGUUUUCUCAUUUCUUUUGACAUUGUUUUCGUCUUCAACAGCAUCCUGAUGAUCUAUCAAUAUCUCCAAUGAGUAAAGGGAUUUUUAAACCUGGGUCGAUCAAAUGAUCAAUUAUAUAUGAAAGCUUUGGCUCCUGUGAGUAAACCAUGCAAAUGUGUACAUGUACCGGAGCCUGUAUCUUAUGCUUUCCAGAGGAAGAUAGUUGCCUUUUGCUGUUCUUUUAGAGUGCCCUCUUGUCCCUCAAAGAAGAGAGAAAAAAUAAAAGGGUGGGGGGAUUUUUGGUUUUUUUUUUUUUUUUUUGGGGGGGGGGGGGAGCCUAAGAAGUAGCUUCUUAUAAGCUACAAAAGUACUCACAGGAGAAUUGUUGGGGAGUUUGUCUUCACCAAAAGGAGGGCGGGGAUUGGGGAAACCUAAGAUCUGUGCCAGUUUUGUGCAAGCAAACUUAUGUUUGCAUGACGACUCCAUUGUCCACUUAACUAUCAACGAAGCUGCUGGCUAUUUAGAAGCAAACUGUUUCUGUCCAGCACUCAUCAACAAACUACUAUUGUAUAUUGAUUGUCAUUUUGGGCAAGGAUAAUUCAAAACUUAAGAUUUUUUAAUGCUAGAUAUCAUGUAAUGAUGCUCAAAGUUUCAGCAUUUAUCCACUAUCUGGAUAUCAUCACUCUGUGAUUUUGGAAUUAGAUGCAUCUGUUAUGAGAAUUCCAAUGUGCAUGUUAGCAAGCCUGUCCAGGUCAAAAGCCCCCACAGCACAGUUGGCCCAGGAAGUCUGAUAAAUUCUGUAGAUGAGUGUAACAUAAUAGUUUUGUACUAUCAGCAAUCCUGCAGAGGUUCUUGGAUUAUUAUUCUUCCUGAGUUGCUGCCUUUCUAGUUGGCUUCGUAGCUCCCUGUGGCUUCAGUUUAAACCGCAUCAUAUUGCUGCUGGAGCAGCACAUCUUGCUGCCAAGUUUUUGAACAUGGAUCUUUCUGCUUAUCGGAACAUAUGGCAGGAGUUCGAGACAACGCCAUCCAUUCUUCAAGAUGUGACACAGCAAUUAAUGGAGCUCUUCUAAGCGUGUAUAGAAUACAAGACAUCUUAGUGGGGGCGUAAAAGUCGAACUUAUUGAUUGGGGGCGUGUCAUUUUAGUGGUGACAAGGGAAGUUUGGAGGUUUUUAAUAAUGAGUGAUCAAUAUGUCUCGACUCGGUAGUGCGUUUAGCUUAUCUGUGAAUUGUGUAGAUCUCGCAAGUUCCAGUGAUUGCUUCAUUAGAUGAUGAAUGUUGGCCCAGGCGUGGACCAUUCUUUGCCUAAUAGGAAUAUACGUAAAUACUGAAUGUUCGGCAGUGUUGUCUUUUUAUAUUACAGUAAAUUAUAUUCUCUUUUUGUGAGGCUUCCUGCU
This is an RNA transcript of Neltuma alba, 3888 nucleotides long. It is a transcript of the gene named cyclin-T1-4, with no coding region annotated. The transcript is spliced from 8 exons. NCBI's taxonomy places the organism in Eukaryota, Viridiplantae, Streptophyta, Magnoliopsida, Fabales, Fabaceae. The record is from RefSeq and is a predicted model, not a curated record.